GGUCUGACAUUGUUAUUCAAAAUAUGGUCCAUUUAUAUAUAUAUACAUGUAAAUGGACCAUAUUUUGAAUAACAAUGUCAGACCAUGACACCU
This 93-nucleotide microRNA precursor is filed under the name Xyrichtys novacula (pearly razorfish). Lineage: Eukaryota; Metazoa; Chordata; Actinopteri; Labriformes; Labridae. The record is from RNAcentral.